Molecule: transfer RNA, 75 nt
Filed under: Ipomoea nil (Japanese morning glory)
Lineage: Eukaryota; Viridiplantae; Streptophyta; Magnoliopsida; Solanales; Convolvulaceae
Rfam family: tRNA
About the family: Transfer RNA (tRNA) molecules are approximately 80 nucleotides in length. Their secondary structure includes four short double-helical elements and three loops (D, anti-codon, and T loops).
Source: Rfam by way of RNAcentral
UCCGUUGAAGUCUAGUUGGUUAGGAUACUCGCGCUCUCACUCGAGAGACCCCGGGUUCAAUUCCCGGCAACAGAA